RNAcentral lists this ribosomal RNA (497 nucleotides) under uncultured bacterium. RNAcentral describes it as "partial 16S ribosomal RNA". It matches the Rfam family "Bacterial small subunit ribosomal RNA", at positions 28 to 507 of the family's 1533-position model. The record is from RNAcentral.
GAUGAACGCUGGCGGCGUGCCUAAUACAUGCAAGUCGAGCGAACGGACGAGAAGCUUGCUUCUCUGAUGUUAGCGGCGGACGGGUGAGUAACACGUGGAUAACCUACCUAUAAGACUGGGAUAACUUCGGGAAACCGGCGCUAAUACCGGAUAAUAUUUUGAACCGCAUGGUUCAAAAGUGAAAGACGGUCUUGCUGUCACUUAUAGAUGGAUCCGCGCUGCAUUAGCUAGUUGGUAAGGUAACGGCUUACCAAGGCAACGAUGCAUAUCCGACCUGAGAGGGUGAUCGGCCACACUGGAACUGAGACACGGUCCAGACUCCUACGGGAGGCAGCAGUAGGGAAUCUUCCGCAAUGGGCGAAAGCCUGGCGGAGCAACGCCGCGUGAGUGAUGAAGGUCUUCGGAUCGUAAAACUCUGUUAUUAGGGAAGAACAUAUGUGUAAGUAACUGUGCACAUCUUGACGGUACCUAAUCAGAAAGCCACGGCUAACUACGUG